This 1327-nucleotide long non-coding RNA is filed under the name Nicotiana benthamiana. RNAcentral's name for it is "long non-coding RNA (NBEN_LNC018092)". The record is from RNAcentral. Lineage: Eukaryota; Viridiplantae; Streptophyta; Magnoliopsida; Solanales; Solanaceae.
CUGGCCCGAGUUGGCCCACAUAUGUAAUAUAUACACUGACCCCUUUUGUAUUAAGGGUCAGUCGGAUAUUUUCAUUUUGAAGAGUUCUUUCUCUUUCUCUGAAACUCUCUCUAGAAUGUUCUACCUAACCGACUCAUCUUCAUCUUCUUCUUCAAUCUUCGUCUCGAUUCCUUGAUGUUUUCAAUUUUCUCAACAAAGUAUAAAGCCUGGAUGAUCUUACAGGUUCGUCCCCUGUUAUUGUUGAAGAGAAGUUCAGAAAGUAAAUACACACACAAAAAAAAUGUUUAUUAUUAUAAAACAAUUUUGCAGAAAAUUGAACUGCUUGGCAUCAUAUGCAUUAAAUACUUAUACAGGAUAGUACACAAUAUCAGACGCUUGAUUAGUACUUAAUAUUGUCCCAUUUAAAAUUCCUCUAAAAAGAAAGAAAUUAAUCUUGUGAAUUACUUGCACAUUUACUAAAAUAUUGGCCUUUUUUUCUUUUUACGCAACAAGUUUGGAUAUAAUUCGAAUGGUGUUGCCUAAUAUCAGCAUAGGCAAAACAUUCAAUAAUUACUUGUUAUUUGUGUAAGCGUUGAUGGACAGACAUUUAAAUAUGUAUGCUAGUGGAAGUUAGUACCGGUAAUUUAUAAAAUUAGCUGAAGUAGGCACAAAUCAAUUCAAACAGUGCCAUUAUUUUGAAAAAAAUCAAUAGAGGGUGAAGGGAAAUAAUUUCCAAAAGAAGUGGAAGGAGAAGAAAUGAGCAAGAGACAUGACUGACAUAGCAUUGGCCAUUGGGGAGCCUAAAAGGAAAAUGACACAAGUCACAACCUUUUCUAUAUAUAUUUUGUUAAAUAGUUGGAACAAGAGCAGAGAUCAUCAAUAGUCCAACUAAAACACAAGUCAAGAAAUUGAAUACAAGAAAAUUGAUUGGUUAUGGAACUGCAAAAAAGAAAAAAGAGAAAAAGAUGAUGAUCUAAAUGGCCCAUACUGCUACUUUGCCUAAGGCUUCCAUAGCCACCAUUUAUGCAGUAGACAGUGAGCAGAGAGCAGAGAGCCACUGCAAUUUUUGCAGAAUGAAUACUUAUCCAUUUACAAUUAAAAAGGAAUGGCCUCUGUGUGAUAUGGAUUGGAAUUGUAAAGUGGGACAAAUGGACAAGGACAACCUCCCCAUGUAUUUGGAUAACUUGCCACUAAUGGAGUUGUCAAUGGACUUAUCAUCUUAUUUCUUUUUUCACCUUUACCCCUCAAAUAUCUUGCCUUUUCAUUUUUUUUAAACUUCCCAUCCGCGAUUGGAAGUUGGAACCCUCGACUAAUCCGGACUAGCCUCACCUAAGGUUCAUUUAAACGC